Molecule: long non-coding RNA, 335 nt
Organism: Numida meleagris (helmeted guineafowl)
Lineage: Eukaryota; Metazoa; Chordata; Aves; Galliformes; Numididae
Exons: 3
Source: RefSeq, a predicted model, not a curated record
GGACAGUGGCUCCCAGGAGCUGCUCCCUGAAAGGGCUACCCCUCAACCAACCCAGGCAAUUCCCUGCUUUGGCACGGAAUGUGUCUGCUCCAGAGCCGAGUACCUCGCCAAAAAGUUAUAUACAUUGGUGUCCAAGAAGAAGAAAAACCCCUUUGAACAAACCUGAAAAUUUCUCAUGCUGUAUCUCAUGCCGGGAUAACAGGCUCUCUGAAAACUCUAGAACUGAAAAGUGCCCAGUUCUUUCUCAUCUGAGGAUAAGCUUUGUUGGAUAAAAAACAUAUUGUGCAAUUCAUGAGAAUCUUUCUGAUUGGAUAAUGAAAUAAAGUGAUUUUCAA